RNAcentral lists this ribosomal RNA (254 nucleotides) under uncultured bacterium. RNAcentral's name for it is "partial 16S ribosomal RNA". It matches the Rfam family "Bacterial small subunit ribosomal RNA", at positions 524 to 776 of the family's 1533-position model. The record is from RNAcentral.
UACGGGGGGAGCAAGCGUUGUUCGGAUUUACUGGGCGUAAAGGGCGCGUAGGCGGCCACCGCAAGUCGGUUGUGAAAUCUCUGGGCUUAACCCAGAAAGGUCAACCGAUACUGCGGGGCUAGAGUGCAGAAGGGGCAACUGGAAUUCUCGGUGUAGCGGUGAAAUGCGCAGAUAUCAGGAGGAACACCGGUGGCGAAGGCGGGUCUCUGGGCCGAUACUGACGCUGAGGAGCGAAAGCGUGGGGAGCAAACAGG